Molecule: transfer RNA, 67 nt
Filed under: Cryptomonas paramaecium
Lineage: Eukaryota; Cryptophyceae; Cryptomonadales; Cryptomonadaceae
Description: Cryptomonas paramecium tRNA
Rfam family: tRNA
About the family: Transfer RNA (tRNA) molecules are approximately 80 nucleotides in length. Their secondary structure includes four short double-helical elements and three loops (D, anti-codon, and T loops).
Source: RNAcentral
AACGUAGCCAAGUGGUUAAGGCGCUGGAUUGUGGCUCCAGUAUUCGCGGGUUCAACUCCCGUCGUUC